This 908-nucleotide ribosomal RNA is filed under the name uncultured bacterium. Its description in RNAcentral is "bacterial SSU rRNA". It matches the Rfam family "Bacterial small subunit ribosomal RNA", at positions 8 to 932 of the family's 1533-position model. The record is from RNAcentral.
AGAGUUUGAUCCUGGCUCAGGACGAACGCUGGCGGCGUGCCUAACACAUGCAAGUCGAGCGAUGAAAUCCCUUCGGGGAUGGAUUAGCGGCGGACGGGUGAGUAACACGUGGGUAACCUGCCUCAAAGAGGGGGAUAGCCUCCCGAAAGGGAGAUUAAUACCGCAUAACAUUAGUUUUUCACAUGAAGAAUUAAUUAAAGGAGUAAUCCGCUUUGAGAUGGACCCGCGGCGCAUUAGCUAGUUGGUGAGGUAACGGCUCACCAAGGCGACGAUGCGUAGCCGACCUGAGAGGGUGAUCGGCCACAUUGGAACUGAGACACGGUCCAGACUCCUACGGGAGGCAGCAGUGGGGAAUAUUGCACAAUGGGCGAAAGCCUGAUGCAGCAACGCCGCGUGAGUGAUGAAGGCCUUCGGGUUGUAAAGCUCUGUCUUUGGGGACGAUAAUGACGGUACCCAAGGAGGAAGCCACGGCUAACUACGUGCCAGCAGCCGCGGUAAUACGUAGGUGGCAAGUGUUGUCCGGAUUUACUGGGCGUAAAGGAUGCGUAGGCGGAUGUUUAAGUGAGAUGUGAAAUACCCGGGCUUAACUUGGGUGCUGCAUUUCAAACUGGAUAUCUAGAGUGCGGGAGAGGAGAAUGGAAUUCCUAGUGUAGCGGUGAAAUGCGUAGAGAUUAGGAAGAACACCAGUGGCGAAGGCGAUUCUCUGGACCGUAACUGACGCUGAGGCAUGAAAGCGUGGGUAGCAAACAGGAUUAGAUACCCUGGUAGUCCACGCCGUAAACGAUGAGUACUAUGUGUAGGAGGUAUCGACUCCUUCUGUGCCGCAGUUAACACAAUAAGUACUCCGCCUGGAAAGUACGAUCGCAAGAUUAAAACUCAAAUGAAUUGACGGAAUCUGACGGAAUCUC